UGGUAUGAUUUGAGUGAUGUCAAAAAAGCCUGCCUACCCAAAAUAUCAUCUGAACUAGCCACUAAGUCUGAAAUUUCCAACCUUCUGUCACUUAAGUGUUAAGGCAUUGCUGUCCAAGAAUGGCACCAUAUUAGUUAACUAAUAUAUAAGCAAUGGUAAUCUUAUUUCACCAACCCAUUUCUAUCUAUUUUCAGUUGGCUCAGAAGGAUAUAAUUUGAUGGAAGAAAGAGAUGAGUCUGAAUUUUUAAUCAGGUGUCCCCUAUUACUAGCCCCACCUGGGAUCACUGAUUCCCUAAAAGAAGAAGGAGAUAGGUCUUAAAAGGUCAAACAAAUGGUUAAAAAAAAAUGGAGACAGGAAUGCCAUAUGCUCCACAAAAUUGCCUGUGGAUCAGACUGAAAGAAGAGGACCUUAACAUCAUGGAGGUGAUUCCAUGACAUGCAAGUAAAUUGGAUUUAAGUUCUGGGCAACGUCACCUGCUUCACUUUCCCCUCCACAGCUAUCUGAAUCUAACGGUGAAGAAAUUGUGGCCAAAAAAAAAAAAAAAAAAAAAGUUGACAACACCCAUGGCCUUCCCACUGGACCAUCUAGCUACCUGAAUAUUUUUGUCUCUAUUAUACCAAUGUGGAUGCUGAGGCUGAGACAUGAAAAGAACUGCCUCAGAUAUACCAAGCUAGAAAAGUGGAUUUCAAACACUCAUCUUCUGAUCCAAAGCCAGAGCUUUCUGGGAACCAAACCCGCUCCGUGUAACAUCUGUCCUUCCUACUUCCCCACGUGGUCGUAAGGCUUCAGUGAGAGAAUGUGUGUGGAAGCACUGAAGCCCUCUGUAGUAUUAUUAUCAUUACUAUUAAUAGUAGUAUGGCCAGAGGGGAUGAGUCUUAUGUACUUGACUCUCAACAAAUGCUUGUUGAUGAUGAAGUCAUCUAUCUUAAUAGAAGAUGCAUUAAAAAGGGGGGGCUACACCACAAGCAAGAUGCCAUGAAGAAAUAAAUCAUAAAUGCAUUGUCCGUUUAUGGGAUUGGAAUCCGGGCUGCCCAGGACAGUGUGACAUGUGUGGGGUGAGGGAGCUGUGACCUACCAUUUUUGUUCCCAGGUUUGAUUUCCAUGAUUUGGUGAAAUUCCCCUCCCUUAUUUCCUGUUUUUACUACAGGGCUGAGUGGAUGAAUGUUUUUUUCCCCCCCUGCAGGUGUUAGUAACUUCUUUAUCCUUCCGGGUAUUCUCACUGGUUGCUGCCUUUCAUCUGAGGGAUUUGUCCUGGCUUGAGUGACAGCAGAAAGAAAUGAAAAGCUUCCUGUGGUGAGGGCCACACCCUCUUUAGCAGCCAUACUUGUGGGGAGAGCAGAGGAUGCUGGUGAUUUCUCCUGGAAAUAAACCUGGCAUUCCCGUAUCUAAAUCAGAGCUACUCUUUUAUCACUUUAUUCUUUAAAAACUUACCUAUUAUUCCAUAAAAACUCUCAUUCCCCAGUUUUAGAAGUAUUCCUGGUUUAACUAUAUUUCCUGAAAUAUAUAUAACCUGGGAUGGAAAAUGAUCAAAUAAAAAAAAAAAACUUUUAUAAAAGAGCAUAUAAGUAUGAGCCUGAGUACUAUAUUUGUACACCAAAGCCUUUAAAUUCUACUGCAAGCAUCCAUAGUGUUCCUGAACAAAGUCUUAAGAGUAAAAUAUUUUAAACUAUAAACUUGGACUUUUAAAAAUGACAAUGUUUCUUUCUGUUUUUAACCCAUCAGUUGAUAAUAUGACAAUUCAGGUGACUGAUUUUAUGACUUUGAAUUUCCUAUUACUAUUUUCUUUUCUUGGCAAAUAUUGUCGCUGUUGGAGGGGUGACAGCUCACAUUCACUGUCACUGCUAGCUUCCCAAGCAUGCUUGGAUUGCUGCUUUCAAGGAUUCCCUAGGGAUUGCUAUGAGAUGGAAUUUUUCAGCCUCAAAUGAAGUUUCUUUAGUAACCACAGGAAAAAAAAAAACUCUCUAAAGUUUCCCAAACUCCUAAGUUUCCAAAUUUUCCAUGUCACUGCUAAGAUCUUUUAACUCUUUUGGAAGUUCACUAUCAGGAAACUUUUGUUAUGAAAAAUGAAAAGGCCCUUGUUCCCUCCCCUAAUUUCUCUCCUCAGAUCAUAGGCACCAAAUACCAUAUAAAGAGAGAAAGAGGGAUGCAGUAAAUCUAUGGCUCAGAUGGGUGAAGGCAAGUCACACCCACUGCCUCUUAUCUGGAUCAUGUAUGUAUAAUGAGGUGUAUAAAAUAAAUCUUGCAAAUCACCUAUUUCCCAUGAUGUUUCUUAAAUUUCUAACUUAAAAUAUGUUUUGUUCUUGUCAAAGUAUGGCAGAAUGGAAAGUAGACUUAUAGCUUAUGCUUACUUUAGUACCCCAAUUAACUCUGGUGGAUCUGUGAUCUUAUCAUUGUGGGCACUUACUCCAACAAUUCAUAUUGCAACCCAUCUCUGCCAGGCCAUCCAGUGCAGUGAUAAUCCAUUCCUUCCCACAAAUCUGUUCUCCUGACAUCUCACUAACACAAGUGGAGCAGAGACAAGCUAUCACUCAGUGGUUACUUUCAUUAUGUGACCUGGCUAUUCCAAUUUUUAACACCCCACCUCCCCAGCAUAUAUUUCUCUGAGUACCUUUAUACCUGUAGCAUGAAAGGCUGCUUAUUUUUAACAUUAGUCCAA
Molecule: long non-coding RNA, 2657 nt
Organism: Antechinus flavipes (yellow-footed antechinus)
Lineage: Eukaryota; Metazoa; Chordata; Mammalia; Dasyuromorphia; Dasyuridae
Exons: 3
Source: RefSeq, a predicted model, not a curated record